CAGCUGAUAUGUGAAAGAAGAAGACGACGUCGUCCCCGUGUCUGGUCCCCACGUGAAGGGAGCGCGCGAAGAAGCCUCGGCUCGGACGUAUCGACCUUGACUUUAAAGAGACGCACAACACGUUGAGAGAAAGUUCCCGCGUUGUUAUUUACACAUUAACCAUAGGAGCUGUUUGGAGGCAAGACUGAACAGGUUACUGGAGGUAAGAAGAGUGGAGUCACGCCUGAAAAACUGGCUUCAUUUCAUUAAAGGAUGGUUGGACGUGAGUCAGAUGAUUAGCAAAUUGAGGACACACAUUUUCCCACUUGUGACUAUUCGACUGUCUGUCUUUGUCUUUGCUUGGCUGCUGUCACCGCAGACAACCUCCUACCUAAUUAGAUUUUACACAGGCGUUACCCUGCGCGCGCCACUCAGCUGUAAAGUUUAUUUUCUCUAACUCGGAUCUUCCGUCUGCGACGCGUCGAACUCGACACCCUCUGCUUCGUGUUUUGAUUUGAAGUGUCCUUUUCUUUAGACGACUCCACUUCCCGUUUGGUGACGUGAUUCAAUUGUUUCAUACAGAUAUGUAUAAAUUGAUUUUUUUUUAAAAAGCUGGGAUUUCAAAAGUUAGAGAAUGUCUCAUCCGGUGAUAAUAUUCCACGCCAUCUUUGUGAUCAUUAUGCAACCUUCAGUAAUGGUGAGAGGUUAACCAUCCACCCUCUCUGGCCUCGUUCAAGGUGCUGGGACGCCGCGUGGAGCGCAGGAUUUUGGCCGCGUAGAAACGGAGGAGGUGGCGCCUCUCGCUGUUAAAGUCCAUGGAUUCUUCACGCUCGCCUCAGCCUCAGAGGAGACAGCCUGCUCGAAACACUCGCAAGUUGCCGUGACAGCGAGGCGCAGAACAUGACGCACCGCAGCGUAUGGAUCGGCCGAGCCACGCGCGUCGCCCCGCGCGGACGACGCGGCGCUCCUGUCCCCGGUGCGCACUGGGAGCCGAGCGUGGCGCACGGAGCAGCGGGUGGGACCAGAUGGAGGCUGUGGAGGCAGGAGGGCACGGCAGUGAUGUCGGCAGAGACCAAGGUUUGUGUCCCCUGACGACCGCCUGAAUCCUCUCCUCACGCUCUCCCUCUUCCUCUGGACGUGGAUCAUCGCUGGAUUUGCCUUCCAGUCGCAUAAUAUUUUCAUUUCCACUGUGCGUGAACCGCAGUGCGCGCGGAUAUGAGGUGUUGAUGAAAGCCGUCCCCACGGGGCUCAGGCUCAUCUUUGCGUGAAGCCUCUGCAGCUCAGACGCUUUCACCCCUAAACUGUAAGCCUGCGGACAAAGGCUGAUCUCAGGUGGAAAUCAACACACUCAUUUGACUUCUGAUGGAACGGGCAAAGUGCUGCUUUGUCUCGUGAAAGGCUUUCUGUUUCACGUGACCUUCUGAGUAUUACCUCAUGUUCCUUUAUCUGUUUCCAUAUCUGCAAAACACUUUACAUCAUCUCGGUUCUGUCAGCUGGCUCAUAGACGCCGCGGCGGCGUGUUGAUUGUUGCCCCUUCAAUAUAAAUAUGACGGAACAUCUGUUUUUUAAUCUUCCUUAACGAACCGUGAGAGUCUAGACCCGCGGUACAAAAGCUGGGCACAAGCUGUCGUCAGAAGCGAACAUAAACAAGUGGUUCGUCCUUUUGGGGGAAUGUGAAAUUUUAUUGUGGGGCUGAGUGACAUCAGAAGAUCACUAUCACUGAAGUCACAUCAUGGUCUGUGCGACCACGAGGUGGUGACCUCAGCCUUGCUCACCGUCAAGCCUGAAAUCAGAAAAAAACAGCUGUUGUAGAAGAUGCUGAAUAUUUAUUUAUGGGGAA
Molecule: long non-coding RNA, 1819 nt
Filed under: Betta splendens (Siamese fighting fish)
Lineage: Eukaryota; Metazoa; Chordata; Actinopteri; Anabantiformes; Osphronemidae
Description: lncRNA (ENSBSLG00000026493.1)
Source: RNAcentral